Molecule: long non-coding RNA, 4525 nt
Filed under: Sus scrofa (pig)
Lineage: Eukaryota; Metazoa; Chordata; Mammalia; Artiodactyla; Suidae
Description: lncRNA (ENSSSCG00000051906.1)
Source: RNAcentral
UACUUCUAAAAGAAGACAUAGGAGACAAAAUAUUUGCUGUUAUGCAAGCUGUUGAUUGCAUCAAAAAGUCCAUUGAAACAUUGCCUCCUUUUUCUUUUUUUCCUGUGUAAUGUUUGGUUUGUCUUAUUUGUAGAAUUAGUUAUUUUCUAUAUUUUUUUGAUUUCUAGUUCAUUCUGUUUGUUUAGUAAAUUCAUUUUCAGAGAUUCUAGGGGAACCUUACUUUCCAGCUCUAUAUUAAUCAAAAGUAAUCUUUAUUAUCAUUCAUUUAAGAUUACAAUUAAAAAUAAUUUAUAUUGAGUUACUUGUAACAUGAAAUCAAAAUAUUUUUGCUUGUACAAAGAGAAAUUGGGACUGAAAACUACUGAUCUUAUAAAAUUUUCUGUGAACAUUAACACAUAUCAAUGAUAAAUGUCAUUGUAAAGGGUUACUUUCUAUUAAAUGUGGUAAGUUUUCUCUAAUCCUAGUCAGCUAGUUAUAUUCUUUUAUUCAAAGACUUAUCAAAUGGUUGCCUCAUGCAUACCACUAUGAAAGGCUUGAUUAGUAUAAUUAGAGUAACUGUAAUAUCUUAUACAUUUAAAAAUUUAAAUUUACAUAAUGAUAUAUUAAAAUAAAAACUGAAAUAGAUUUGUUAGUUACCUAUAGAUGCAGAUGUAAAUUUAUAAAUUAUUGAAUUUCAUAUUAUGAGAAGUGCUAAUAUUUCAUUAAGUAAGUAUUAAGUCAAGAUUUUGACAAUUAAAAAUUACGCUACUUGGAAUGAGUAAGUUGCACAUUAUUCUAUUUGAGCUUAUAAGUGGGGAGAAACUGCACCUAUGAAAAGAAUAUAACUAGUGCAGCAAGGUCCAUUAUAUCUGACAAUUUUACAUGUUUCUCCAGUCAGGAUGUUUUGUUUAUAAAUAUGCAUGUAUUAACUGCAGGUACUUUACAAUUUGAAAACCUAAGGUAAAUUUGUAUAUUCAUGUUAAAUGAGUAAAUUAAUACUUUUCAAUAUUCUUCACACACAGAGCAUAUUUUUCUUAAACAUUUGUUCCAUAUAUGACCAACAUCAGAAAAACUGAUGUUGAACAAAACACAGAAAUAAUGAACAAAGUCUAUACAUCAGGGCCUGGGGAUAUAUAUUUCAAAACCUUCCUAGAUUUUCUUGUGUAUGUUACAGUUUGAAACUAAUUGUCCUAGCUUAUUCCUGUGUUUAUAUUCUAUUAACUUUGCACAUAUAUGUACUAGCAUAGAAAUAGUUGGGCUUGAUUUACCCAACUAUUCUGAUAAAAGCAAUUUUAAUUAUGAUUACAUUUAUUAAUAAGAAAUAAUUAGAACAAUUGGUAGGUAUUAGGUGUCUAACUGAACUCAAUAUUCUACAUACAUUAUCUUAAAUGUCCAAACUUUUAAAAAUUAAGGGGUUAAUAAAGCCCAGAAAUAUGUGGUGAUCCCAAGUCAAAGCCAGAUCUAUUUAUGCAGACAAUGUUUACCAAAUCCAUAAAAUAAAAUGAAAAUUUCAAAUAUCUUCUCUUCCCAUCAUACCACACUAUACUGUUCUCUCAAUUUCAGUCUUUUUCAGAGUUUUAAUAAUUCCAGAGUUUCAGUAUAACUCUUACACCUUCUUGUCUCAAAUAUAACUUAAUUUUACUACAUAAAACAUUAAUACAUCAGAUUAGAUUUUUCAAUAAGCAGACACCAAGAUAAUAUUAGAUAGACAUGCACAAUAUUUAUUGGGGGAAUGAUCUUUGAAAAAUAAAGGGGAACAAACAAUUAGGUAUGGAAGACCUUCAGACAGUGAUGUGUGAAGAAAGGAAGGAAAGAAAGGGGAAGGGAGGGAGGAAAAGUGUUAAGAGUAACCUUACUCUGGAAUCUAUCUCUAUGAAAUUUCUCUUCAGGGACAUUUGGAGCCUCAGAGCAAAGAUUCCCAUCAGGUAAUUCCAACAUUCAGCAGGAGUAACCCAGUUCUUUCAACCCUACCAAAUUCACUCAUUGGUUGGGGGCAUCUGUGAGAGACGUGGGCCUUAGCAUGAAUAUUGUAGUGAAUCUAAAGAUGCAACAGAGAGUCAGAGGUUGUAUGCCAAUUGCAGGUCUUGCAGCAGGUUCUCUUGACUAGAAGGAUGUGUGAUACACCUCCAUGACCUCCACAGGCAGUGCUUCGGAAAACUUUCCUGCACUACACAUUGGUGUACUCAAGGGUAUGGGCAAAAUACUAUUGCCUUUGCACUUCCAAAAUUACUAAAUAUCGGGGAUAAAAUAGGCAAGUAUAUACUUACGUCAUAUACAUAUUUAUUUAUAAAGAGAAAAUUUGAAAUAGAAAUAUUUUUAUUACCUAAGGCAGAUUCUAUUUUAAAACCACACGAUUUUGUAAACUAAAAUUCAAGAGAUAUUUUUAGAAUAUAGUGGAAUAUAUGACAAAUAUUGAAAAAAGGAAGGAAGGAAUCUGAAAGUAUAUCUCACAAAGGAGAUGGCUCAAUUUCUCAUUGUGUUAUGCAUUUAGAAGUAGAGGAUGGAUUUUAAAAGAUCCUUAAUUAUUAAGAUCAUUGAUAUAUUCUUCUAACAAGACUAAUGGACUGAAUAAGGUAUAUAGUCACCUCUAAGGAAGAAUCACUACUUUUUUAAAGGAAUUGAGUUUCAAAUUUUUGUAGCCAGUGCUGAAACAAUGUUCAUUUUAUGAACAAUACAGAGACAUGAAUAAAACAAUGUUAUUGGAUUUCUGAAAUUUUUCAUGAACCAGAAGUUUCCAGAGCCAUUACCCAGAGCCCCAACCACUGCCAAUUUCUUCCUUUCUUACCGAAUCUUUUUAUGUUUGACAUGUUCAGAAAAUAUGUUCUGUGACACAUGAAUAGCUCUUAACAGUAGGUAACCAAAAUGAGGUCAUGGAGUUCCCCUCGUGGCACAGUGGAAACGAAUCCGGUUAGGAGCCAUGAGGUUGCAGGUUCAAUCCCUGGCCUCACUCAGUGGGUAAGGAGCCGGUGUUGCCGUGGUGUAGGUCGCAGACACGGCUUAGAUCUGGGGUUGCUAUGGCUCUGGUAUAGGCCAGCAGCAACAGCUCCGAUUAUACCCCUGGCCUGGAAACCUCCAUGUGCUGAGGAUGCAGCCCUAAAACACACACACACACAAAACAAAACAAAAUGAGGUCGUAAGAUUUUUCUAACCCAAUAGCACUCAAUGGAAAAAACAAAAACCCAAAGAGCCAGAAUGAAACCAUUAUUCUGUAACCCCGAACAUAAUAACAAAUUAACAUUUUUGAACACCAGUAAUUUUCAGAUUCACUUAGGAUAACACAGUAUGCGCAAAUCUUAAAUAUAUGAUCAGAAAUUUAACUGUGUGUAUUGGAAAAUCUACAUAUACAUGUUGUUCUCAAAAAAAUUGAUUCACCUCUUUUGAAGUUCAUAAGACUGCAGAUAUCAUUAUAAAUGAUUAUUGCAAAACUAAUUUAUUACGCAGAUUUUUAAAAUAUCCAGUUGAGGCAGUUUUGGCAAAACCAAAUUCUAUGGAGAAUUGAAAACUGAAGUAAUUUAAAACCUAAAACUACAAGUUUAUAAAAAUGUGAAUAUUCACUUAGCAUGCUAUGGCACAUGGAAAUGAGCAGCAACUUGUAUUAUAUGCUUUAAGUCUCUCCAUAAAUAUACAUUUUAACUAAAAAAUAGUAAUAAAUCAUUUUUUGCAGAAUAGGCAGGGAUGUCAUUCUAUAUAUCUUCCUUUUUUAUUUUAGAGCUAAUAAAUAAGGAUUGUGCUCUGGACUGGAAUAUGUUUUAACAAUUGUAGCUAUAUAUGUAAUGAAACGUGUAUAGUAUAUUAACAAGAUCUGAAAAUCUUAUACAUUUAAUUUUACAUCUACCUAUACAAAAAAUUGUUACGUCUUGAGUACUUUAAAAGAUAACAAGGGAGUUCCCAUUGUGUCUCAGUUGGUUUAGGACCUGAUAAUAGUCUCUGUGAGGAUGUAGGUUCUAUCCCUGGUCUUGCUUGGUGGGUUAAGGAUCUGGCAUUGCCAUAAGCUGCGGUAUAAGUUGCAGAUCUGGCUUGGUUCUGGUGUUGCUUCAGCUGUAGUGUAGGGCUAUAGCUGCAGUUCUCAUUUGACCCCUAGCUCAGGAACUUUCAUUUUCUGCAGAUGUGGUAUAAAAAUAAAAUUAAAUUAAAUUAAAAAAUAAACCACCAAUAUAAUAUAUUGUAUUAUUAAAAAAAAAAGACAGUGAAAACAUUGUCUAUUUCUUUUGGUGCAGAAUGGCCAGCAAUUCCAAGGAGGGAGGAAAAAAGAGAUAAAAGCAAUUAAUUUGGUGUUUAUAUUUGUUUGGUAAUGUUUACCUUACUGGUAGCCCUGCAAGAGCAACUUAUCAAGUUUCUCUCUCUAGGCCUAGCAAAAGGGGAAUAUAUUAAUCAGGGUUAUCUAGAGAAACGGAACCUGUAUAAAAGAGAGAGAGAGAGACUUCUAAAGCCAGAAGAUAUGAAAGUAGAAAGAGUGGUUGAAAGUUUUUUUUUGUUUUUUUUAAACACCAGUUAGAAUUCCAAAUUUUCACAUUUUCUCCAUGGAGCCUGCUCCUUUAAUCACACU